AUUGAACGCUGGCGGCAGGCCUAACACAUGCAAGUCGAGCGAGCGGCGGACGGGUGAGUAAUGUCUGGGAAACUGCCUGAUGGAGGGGGAUAAAUACUGGAAACGGUAGCUAAUACCGCAUACCAUCAGAUGUGCCCAGAUGGGAUUAGCUAGUGGGUGGGGUAAUGGCUCACCGAGGCGACGCUCCCUAGCUGGGCUGAGAGGAUGAGCAGCCACACGGGAACGGAGACACGUUCCAGACCCCUGCGGGAGGGAGCAGUGGGGAAUAUUGCACAAUGGGCGCAAUGCUGAUGCUGCCAUGCCGCGUGUGUGAAGAAGGCCUUCGGGUUGUAAAGCACUUUCAGCGGGGAGGCGUUACCCGCAGAAGAAGCACCGGCUAACUCCGUGCCAGCAGCCGCGGUAAUAC
Molecule: ribosomal RNA, 406 nt
Filed under: uncultured bacterium
Lineage: Bacteria
Description: partial 16S ribosomal RNA
Rfam family: Bacterial small subunit ribosomal RNA
Source: RNAcentral